RNAcentral lists this ribosomal RNA (503 nucleotides) under uncultured bacterium. RNAcentral's name for it is "partial 16S ribosomal RNA". It matches the Rfam family "Bacterial small subunit ribosomal RNA", at positions 30 to 523 of the family's 1533-position model. The record is from RNAcentral.
AUUGAACGCUGGCGGCAGGCCUAACACAUGCAAGUCGAGCGGGGUGAUGGUGCUUGCGCUAUCACUUAGCGGCGGACGGGUGAGUCAUGCUUAGGAAUCUGCCUACUAGUGGGGGACAACAUCUCGAAAGGGAUGCUAAUACUGCAUACGUCCUACGAGAGAAAGCAGGGGAUCACUUGUGACCUUGCGCUAAUAGAUGAGCCUAAGUCGGAUUAGCUAGUUGGUGGGGUACAGGCCUACCAAGGCGACGAUCUGUAGCGGGUCUGGGAGGAUGAUCCGCCACACUGGGACUGAGACACGGCCCAGACUCCUACGGGAGGCAGCAGUGGGGAAUAUUGGACAAUGGGGGGAACCCUGAUCCAGCCAUGCCGCGUGUGUGGAGAAGGCCUUAUGGUUGUAAAGCACUUUAAGCGAGGAGGAGGCUCUUUUGGUUAAUACCCAAGAUGAGUGGACGUUACUCGCAGAAUAAGCACCGGCUAACUCUGUGCCAGCCGCCGCCGUAA